GAAGUAAUGAAUCGCUAAUGUACCCCGGACUCUGGGAUAGCUACCCGAAAGGGUAGGUAAUACCAGAUGAGACCACGGAGAGGCAUCUCUCUGUGCUCAAAGGUCCGCCGGUCUGGGAGCAGGCGAUUUCGUAUCAGCUAGUUGGUGAGGUAACGGCUCACCAAGGCGACGACGCGUAGCCGGACUGAGAGGUUGGCCGGCCACAUUGGGACUGAGACACUGCCCAGACUCCUACGGGGGGCUGCAGUAACGAAUCUUCCGCAAUGCACGAAAGUGUGACGGAGCGACGCCGCGUGUAGGAGAAGCCCUUCGGGGUGUAAACUACUGUCAGGGGUUAGAAAGUUCUGAUCAACCCCAGAGGAAGGCACGGCUAACUCUGUGCCAGCAGCCGCGGUAAGACAGAGGUGCCAAGCGUUAGGCGGAAUCACUGGGCUUAAAGCGUGUGUAGGCGGAUCGUUAAUACCUUGUGAAUCCACGGCUUACCGUGGAACGGCUCGGUAUACUGGCGGUCUUGAGCACCUAGGGCGACGGAACAAUGGUGGAC
RNAcentral lists this ribosomal RNA (544 nucleotides) under uncultured bacterium. RNAcentral describes it as "bacterial SSU rRNA". It matches the Rfam family "Bacterial small subunit ribosomal RNA", at positions 108 to 674 of the family's 1533-position model. The record is from RNAcentral.